AGCGCUCACUGGGCGUAAAGCGUGCGCAGGCGGUUUUGUAAGACAGAGGUGAAAUCCCCGGGCUCAACCUGGGAACUGCCUUUGUGACUGCAAGGCUGGAGUGCGGCAGAGGGGGAUGGAAUUCCGCGUGUAGCAGUGAAAUGCGUAGAUAUGCGGAGGAACACCGAUGGCGAAGGCAAUCCCCUGGGCCUGCACUGACGCUCAUGCACGAAAGCGUGGGGAGCAAACA
This 229-nucleotide ribosomal RNA is filed under the name uncultured Alicycliphilus sp. RNAcentral's name for it is "partial 16S ribosomal RNA". It matches the Rfam family "Bacterial small subunit ribosomal RNA", at positions 551 to 774 of the family's 1533-position model. The record is from RNAcentral. Lineage: Bacteria; Pseudomonadati; Pseudomonadota; Betaproteobacteria; Burkholderiales; Comamonadaceae.